GGGGACCUGCGGAAGGAUCAUUACCGAGUGUAGGGUUCCUAGCGAGCCCAACCUCCCACCCGUGUUUACUGUACACUUAGUUGCUUCGGCGGGCCCGCCAUUCAUGGCCGCCGGGGGCUCUCAGCCCCGGGCCCGCGCCCGCCGGAGACACCACGAACUCUGUCUGAUCUAGUGAAGUCUGAGUUGAUUGUAUCGCAAUCAGUUAAAACUUUCAACAAUGGAUCUCUUGGUUCCGGCAUCGAUGAAGAACGCAGCGAAAUGCGAUAACUAGUGUGAAUUGCAGAAUUCCGUGAAUCAUCGAGUCUUUGAACGCACAUUGCGCCCCCUGGUAUUCCGGGGGGCAUGCCUGUCCGAGCGUCAUUGCUGCCCAUCAAGCACGGCUUGUGUGUUGGGUCGUCGUCCCCUCUCCGGGGGGGACGGGCCCCAAAGGCAGCGGCGGCACCGCGUCCGAUCCUCGAGCGUAUGGGGCUUUGUCACCCGCUCUGUAGGCCCGGCCGGCGCUUGCCGAACGCAAAUCAAUCUUUUUCCAGGUUGACCUCGGAUCAGGUAGGGAUACCCGCUGAACUUAAGCAUAUCAA
Molecule: ribosomal RNA, 578 nt
Filed under: Aspergillus flavus
Lineage: Eukaryota; Fungi; Ascomycota; Eurotiomycetes; Eurotiales; Aspergillaceae
Description: eukaryotic LSU rRNA
Rfam family: 5.8S ribosomal RNA (bases 207-360)
Source: RNAcentral